This 707-nucleotide ribosomal RNA is filed under the name Pseudomonas aeruginosa. RNAcentral describes it as "bacterial SSU rRNA". It matches the Rfam family "Bacterial small subunit ribosomal RNA", at positions 56 to 759 of the family's 1533-position model. Lineage: Bacteria; Pseudomonadati; Pseudomonadota; Gammaproteobacteria; Pseudomonadales; Pseudomonadaceae. The record is from RNAcentral.
UGCAGUCGAGCGGAUGAAGGGAGCUUGCUCCUGGAUUCAGCGGCGGACGGGUGAGUAAUGCCUAGGAAUCUGCCUGGUAGUGGGGGAUAACGUCCGGAAACGGGCGCUAAUACCGCAUACGUCCUGAGGGAGAAAGUGGGGGAUCUUCGGACCUCACGCUAUCAGAUGAGCCUAGGUCGGAUUAGCUAGUUGGUGGGGUAAAGGCCUACCAAGGCGACGAUCCGUAACUGGUCUGAGAGGAUGAUCAGUCACACUGGAACUGAGACACGGUCCAGACUCCUACGGGAGGCAGCAGUGGGGAAUAUUGGACAAUGGGCGAAAGCCUGAUCCAGCCAUGCCGCGUGUGUGAAGAAGGUCUUCGGAUUGUAAAGCACUUUAAGUUGGGAGGAAGGGCAGUAAGUUAAUACCUUGCUGUUUUGACGUUACCAACAGAAUAAGCACCGGCUAACUUCGUGCCAGCAGCCGCGGUAAUACGAAGGGUGCAAGCGUUAAUCGGAAUUACUGGGCGUAAAGCGCGCGUAGGUGGUUCAGCAAGUUGGAUGUGAAAUCCCCGGGCUCAACCUGGGAACUGCAUCCAAAACUACUGAGCUAGAGUACGGUAGAGGGUGGUGGAAUUUCCUGUGUAGCGGUGAAAUGCGUAGAUAUAGGAAGGAACACCAGUGGCGAAGGCGACCACCUGGACUGAUACUGACACUGAGGUGCGAAAG